RNAcentral lists this ribosomal RNA (746 nucleotides) under Acinetobacter soli. RNAcentral describes it as "bacterial SSU rRNA". It matches the Rfam family "Bacterial small subunit ribosomal RNA", at positions 56 to 795 of the family's 1533-position model. The record is from RNAcentral. Lineage: Bacteria; Pseudomonadati; Pseudomonadota; Gammaproteobacteria; Moraxellales; Moraxellaceae.
UGCAAGUCGAGCGGGGUGAUGGUGCUUGCACUAUCACUUAGCGGCGGACGGGUGAGUAAUGCUUAGGAAUCUGCCUAUUAGUGGGGGACAACAUCUCGAAAGGGAUGCUAAUACCGCAUACGUCCUACGGGAGAAAGCAGGGGAUCACUUGUGACCUUGCGCUAAUAGAUGAGCCUAAGUCGGAUUAGCUAGUUGGUGGGGUAAAGGCCUACCAAGGCGACGAUCUGUAGCGGGUCUGAGAGGAUGAUCCGCCACACUGGGACUGAGACACGGCCCAGACUCCUACGGGAGGCAGCAGUGGGGAAUAUUGGACAAUGGGGGGAACCCUGAUCCAGCCAUGCCGCGUGUGUGAAGAAGGCCUUAUGGUUGUAAAGCACUUUAAGCGAGGAGGAGGCUCUUUUGGUUAAUACCCAGGAUGAGUGGACGUUACUCGCAGAAUAAGCACCGGCUAACUCUGUGCCAGCAGCCGCGGUAAUACAGAGGGUGCAAGCGUUAAUCGGAUUUACUGGGCGUAAAGCGCGCGUAGGCGGCCAAUUAAGUCAAAUGUGAAAUCCCCGAGCUUAACUUGGGAAUUGCAUUCGAUACUGGUUGGCUAGAGUGUGGGAGAGGAUGGUAGAAUUCCAGGUGUAGCGGUGAAAUGCGUAGAGAUCUGGAGGAAUACCGAUGGCGAAGGCAGCCAUCUGGCCUAACACUGACGCUGAGGUGCGAAAAGCAUGGGGAGCAAACAGAUAGAUACCCUGGUAGUC